RNAcentral lists this unclassified non-coding RNA (349 nucleotides) under soil metagenome. RNAcentral describes it as "partial contains 5.8S ribosomal RNA, internal transcribed spacer 2, and large subunit ribosomal RNA". The stretch from base 1 to 120 matches the Rfam family "5.8S ribosomal RNA", at positions 35 to 154 of the family's 154-position model. The record is from RNAcentral.
GAUGAAGAACGUAGCGAAAUGCGAUAAGUAAUGUGAAUUGCAGAAUUCAGUGAAUCAUCGAAUCUUUGAACGCACAUUGCGCCCGCCAGUAUUCUGGCGGGCAUGCCUGUCCGAGCGUCAUUUCAACCCUCGAACCCCUCCGGGGGGUCGGCGUUGGGGAUCGGCCCUUUACGGGGCCGGCCCCGAAAUACAGUGGCGGUCUCGCCGCAGCCUCUCCUGCGCAGUAGUUUGCACACUCGCAUCGGGAGCGCGGCGCGUCCAAUGCCGUAAAACACCCAACUUUCUGAAAUGUUGACCUCGGAUCAGGUAGGAAUACCCGCUGAACUUAAGCAUAUCAAUAAGCGGAGGA